UGAGGAACAUGACCUUCGGCGGGGGAUAGCCGGCCCAACGGCCGGGUAAUACCGCGUACGACCUUUUGGGGACAUCCCCGACUGGUGAAAGCAGCAAUGCGCCGAUGGAGUGCCUCGCGGCCUAUCAGCUAGUUGGUGGGGUAACGGCCUACCAAGGCAACGACGGGUAGCUGGUCUGAGAGGACGAUCAGCCACACUGGGACUGAGACACGGCCCAGACUCCUACGGGAGGCAG
RNAcentral lists this ribosomal RNA (235 nucleotides) under uncultured bacterium. RNAcentral's name for it is "partial 16S ribosomal RNA". It matches the Rfam family "Bacterial small subunit ribosomal RNA", at positions 118 to 351 of the family's 1533-position model. The record is from RNAcentral.